GCGGAUGCGCUGGUUAUUCCGGCGCGUGGUAGGGGAGCGUUCUGUAAGUCUGCGAAGGCGGUUCGAGAGGACUGCUGGAGAUAUCAGAAGUGCGAAUGCUGACAUGAGUAACGUUAAAGCAGGUGAAAAGCCUGCUCGCCGUAAGCCCAAGGAUUCCUGCUCUACGUUCAUCGGAGCAGGGUGAGUCGGCUCCUAAGGUCAGGCCGAAAGGCGUAGCCGAUGGGAAUCAGGUUAAUAUUCCUGAACCUGCGUCAGAUGCGAUGGGGGGACGGAGCAUGAAAGAUCAUCCGGGUGUUGGAAGUCCCGGUUGACGAGCGUAGGAGGUCUGCAGGCAAAUCCGCAGACGAUUCUCCAAGGCAAAGACACGUGCCGCCACGGCGGCGAAGUGAUCGGAAGUGCUUCCAAGAAAAGCCUCUAAGCACCAGUCUGACGCGGACCGUACCGCAAACCGACACUGGUGGGCGAGCUGAAUAUGCUCAGGCGCUUGAGAGAACUCGGGAGAAGGAACUCGGCAAAUUGACACCGUAACUUCGGAAGAAGGUGUGCCGUAGUAGCGUGAGAGGAGAGACUCCUCGAGCGUGAAUCGGUCUCAGAGAAUAGGUGGCUGCGACUGUUUAUUAAAAACACAGCACUGUGCAAACACGAAAGUGGACGUAUACGGUGUGACGCCUGCCCGGUGCCGGAAGGUUAAUUGAUGGGGUUAGCGGUAACGCGAAGCUCUUGAUCGAAGCCCCGGUAAACGGCGGCCGUAACUAUAACGGUCCUAAGGUAGCGAAAUUCCUUGUCGGGUAAGUUCCGACCUGCACGAAUGGCAUAACGAUGGCCACACUGUCUCCUCCCGAGACUCAGUGAAGUUGAAAUGUUUGUGAUGAUGCAAUCUACCCGCGGCUAGACGGAAAGACCCCAUGAACCUUUACUGCAGCUUUGCAUUGAACUGUGAACCGAUUUGUGUAGGAUAGGUGGGAGGCAGAGAAGAGGCCACGCCAGUGGUCUUGGAGCCGACCUUGAAAUACCACCCUGAUUUGUUUGCGGUUCUAACCACGGACAGUGAUCCUGUCUUGGGACCGUGCAUGGUAGGCAGUUUGACUGGGGCGGUCUCCUCCUAAAGGGUAACGGAGGAGUACGAAGGUACGCUAGGUACGGUCGGAAAUCGUGCUGAUAGUGCAAUGGCAAAAGCGUGCUUGACUGCGAGAGCAACAACUCGAGCAGAUGCGAAAGCAGGUCAUAGUGAUCCGGUGGCUCUGAAUGGAAGGGCCAUCGCUCAAAGGAUAAAAGGUACUCCGGGGAUAACAGGCUGAUACCGCCCAAGAGUUCAUAUCGACGGCGGUGUUUGGCACCUCGAUGUCGGCUCAUCUCAUCCUGGGGCUGUAGUCGGUCCCAAGGGUAUGGCUGUUCGCCAUUUAAAGUGGUACGCGAGCUGGGUUUAGAACGUCGUGAGACAGUUCGGUCCCUAUCUGCCGUGGGCGUUGGAAGAUUGACGGGGGCUGCUCCUAGUACGAGAGGACCGGAGUGGACGCACCUCUGGUGUACCGGUUGUCACGCCAGUGGCAUUGCCGGGUAGCUAAGUGCGGAAGAGAUAACCGCUGAAAGCAUCUAAGCGGGAAACUUGCCUGAAGAUGAGUCUUCCCGGAGGUUGAACCUCCCUCAAGAGUCGUCCGAGACCAGGACGUCGAUAGGUCAGGUGUGUAAGCGCUGUAAGGCGUUGAGCUAACUGAUACUAAUUGCUCGUGAGGCUUGAUC
This 1740-nucleotide ribosomal RNA is filed under the name human gut metagenome. RNAcentral describes it as "bacterial LSU rRNA". It matches the Rfam family "Bacterial large subunit ribosomal RNA", at positions 1202 to 2925 of the family's 2925-position model. The record is from RNAcentral.